AUGGUAAAAGGUUUAGGUGUUUUAUUUGGAAUGCAUUUCAAGGCUGGGAUGAGGUUUUUGCAUCUCAGUAAAAUUCAUUUUGACAGAUUUUAUAGAGGCAGCCUAACAGAACUCCUAUUUACCAGAAUGUGUAUGAUAGAGAAGGGGAAGAAUGCUAGUGAAACAGAGGCAGAAGAGAUUAUUGAAAUAGCCAGCAAAGCCUCUGUUGCCGAUCAACAAAUGCUAGUACAAGAAAAUGUUCAUUCUCAAAUCAAAACAUUUUGCACAUUAAUGGAUGAAGUAAAACAGUGA
Vicia faba (fava bean) is the source of this 291-nucleotide non-coding RNA. The record is from the annotation of a GenBank genome assembly. NCBI's taxonomy places the organism in Eukaryota, Viridiplantae, Streptophyta, Magnoliopsida, Fabales, Fabaceae.